GAUGAAGAACGCAGCGAAAUGCGAUAAGUAAUGUGAAUUGCAGAAUUCAGUGAAUCAUCGAAUCUUUGAACGCACAUUGCGCCCCUUGGUAUUCCGAGGGGCAUGUCUGUUCGAGCGUCAUAUUAACCACUCCCGCUUGCGGGGUCUUGGGCUUCGCCUCCGGGCGGGCCUUAAAAUCAGUGGCGGUGCCGUCGGGCUCUACGCGUAGUAAAUUUUCUCGCGAUAGGGUCCCGGUGGAUGCUUGCCAACAACCCCCAACUUCUUAAGGUUGACCUCGGAUCAGGUAGGGAUACCCGCUGAACUUAAGCAUAUCAAUAAGCGGAGGA
RNAcentral lists this unclassified non-coding RNA (326 nucleotides) under soil metagenome. Its description in RNAcentral is "partial contains 5.8S ribosomal RNA, internal transcribed spacer 2, and large subunit ribosomal RNA". The stretch from base 1 to 120 matches the Rfam family "5.8S ribosomal RNA", at positions 35 to 154 of the family's 154-position model. The record is from RNAcentral.